ACUCCCUGCUGCUCCCCCGGAUGAGACUCACCUGACGUAAUUGCUUGACGCGUGGAGCCACUCUCAGUGACCACGUAGGCCCCACACGUCAGUGACCAUGUCCCUCUGACAUGAACGUAAGAGGAACCACUUCCUGCUCCCCUUGCCCCUGAAGGCUCACCCAUUGUUGUUGCUGUUGCUGGGCAUGAGGAGGGAGGAGGAGGAAGGGGAAGGCAACAAGGAAGAAGGGGAUUCCCUAUGGAUUCUCACUGUGGUGCUCCAAGGUGGUGCUACUUCGGGACCCAAUUAGCGUUCAUCAUAUUCGUCGAUAAAGAUAAGUGAAUGUAACAGUUGUGCUACAACUUUAACUUUUCUUUUUACUAUCUACGCUCUAAAAAUGCAGUACAUAUAAUUAUGCUUAGUGAUUUGAAUUAAUGAAGAAUUUGUUGUUUAAAACAUGUCUAAGAGGUAGGAUGUACUUAGGUAGAUGGUAGCUUUGAGUUAGAUGAGCAACCGAAGAUCAUAACUUAGGGUUAUUUCUAUAUUUCUCAUAACUGGUAAGGGGAUGAAGUUCUUGAUGACUUAUACAUGUUUAAUAUGAAAGAAGUUAAUCAUGGGUUAGCAUAAGAGGAUUAGUUGCCUUAUUGAUGCCUUACAUAGAAGAAGUUUUUCAUGUGAUUAUAUGAUAAAGUUUAUUGUUCAGUUUAUAUUUAAUAUGUCGCUAUAUGGCCAUAAGGUAUUUAUUUAUGUUAGGAUGAAUAUACGUGAAGAACACAUUGUUUAUAUUUCUCUUUCCAAGGUAUAUUGUUGAAGAUCAUGUUAUAUGACUUUUACCUUUCGGUAUUUGAAGUAUUGCAGUGCAUAUUAAUGCAUCUUUGCAUUCAUGUCAUGAAUAAGUGCAUCCAAGCCAAGUCGGUGGGUUAAGUCAUAUAACUAUUCUAGAGUGCAUUUAAAUCAGGUCAGUAAGAAAGUUAUAUGACUAUUUCGAAAUGCUCUUGAGAAAUAAUUUGCAUUUGAAGGUAUAUCGCCGUCUUAUAGCCGCGACCGUACUGAUACAAUAUCGUACGUUACUCGAGGAGGGGUACAAUGCAGAUUCAUACUUCAUCGAGCAUGAAGGCAAUGGACUAACAAGCAUUAAGCCACAUACUACGACGGGUGUGCAUAAGCAUGGCUUAUCCAUCAUGAAAGGGAAGGGGUUUAGUAGCACACACACUACAUUCGGUUGUAGCCUCAUUUGUUCAUGUUGGUAGCUAAGCUGACAUGUGUAAUGUAACUAAUAAAUUGAAGUAUGGUUUAAUUAUGGAUUAAAUUUGCUCUAUAUUGUUCAGUAUA
Molecule: long non-coding RNA, 1311 nt
Organism: Phragmites australis (common reed)
Lineage: Eukaryota; Viridiplantae; Streptophyta; Magnoliopsida; Poales; Poaceae
Exons: 3
Source: RefSeq, a predicted model, not a curated record